CCAGAAGUAGUAGAGCUGGAUCAUUACACUCCUGUGACCAAUCCUGCAUGAGACUGCGGUUAGGCCCGCCUUUCUCAUUAGCAUAAGGACACUGAAAUCGGGCAUGUGAGAACAACACAGAGACAGAGGGAGGAGUGGAACGUCUGAGAGUGGGAAUAUAAAAGGCAGCUCUCCUCCAGCUGUUGGGCCUGUCCUUGAGGCAAACUUGGGUAAACAUUCAUGUAACUUCAUGUUUAACAGUGUCCCGCAGAGUGCACGCCCCAACUACUGUCACGUCUUGCACCGUAGAGCACGUCUGUCCUCCCUCAUGUUGUUUACGAUCUAAUUUCACAGGUCACAUGACUGUCUUUGUGUUGUGUAAUGUGUCUACACACCUGCAGAGGUGCCACUGUUUGUGUUGCUGCAUGCCUGCAAAGAUGCCAGAGACUUCAAUGAGACAAAUGCUUUAAGAGCCAUGUUAGCGGUUGCUGUGGCUCAAAGGGUACAGUGAUCAUACUCUGGCCAGAAGGUUGUCAGUUCGAUAUCAGUCUUCCCCAUACAGCAUGCCGAUGUGUUCUUGGCAAGAUACUGCAUUCUAAAAGGGCACAAGAAUAACUCUCAUUACUGAAUGAUACAGUAUAACUCAGUGUUCCACAGAGUCCAACAUCUGUAAAGAUCCUUAAAACUAAGUGCAUUUUUUAAAUUGAUUUGAUACACUCAUGCUCCUUAUUUGCAGCUUGACUUUAUUUGUAUUUUAUAUCUGUCAGAAAUUAAAAA
Molecule: long non-coding RNA, 756 nt
Organism: Pleuronectes platessa (European plaice)
Lineage: Eukaryota; Metazoa; Chordata; Actinopteri; Pleuronectiformes; Pleuronectidae
Exons: 3
Source: RefSeq, a predicted model, not a curated record